This 274-nucleotide ribosomal RNA is filed under the name uncultured bacterium. RNAcentral's name for it is "partial 16S ribosomal RNA". It matches the Rfam family "Bacterial small subunit ribosomal RNA", at positions 523 to 796 of the family's 1533-position model. The record is from RNAcentral.
AUACGAAAGGUGCAAGCGUUGUUCGGAUUUACUGGGCGUAAAGAGAUCGUAGGUGGUUUAUUAAGUCGGAUGUGAAAUCCCGGGGCUCAACCCCGGAACUGCAUUCGAUACUGGUAGACUAGAGUUUGGGAGGGGUAAGCGGAAUUCCGUGUGUAGCAGUGAAAUGCGUAGAUAUACGGAGGAACACCUGAGGCGAAGGCGGCUUACUGGACCAAUACUGACACUGAGGAUCGAAAGCGUGGGUAGCAAACAGGAUUAGAUACCCCAGUAGUCC